RNAcentral lists this ribosomal RNA (786 nucleotides) under uncultured Neocallimastigales. Its description in RNAcentral is "partial large subunit ribosomal RNA". It matches the Rfam family "Eukaryotic large subunit ribosomal RNA", at positions 19 to 621 of the family's 3401-position model. Lineage: Eukaryota; Fungi; Neocallimastigomycota; Neocallimastigomycetes; Neocallimastigales. The record is from RNAcentral.
CGAGCACGCGCGUGUGGCAUAUCAAUAAGCGGAGGAAAAGAAACUAACAUAGGAUUCCCCUUAGUAACGGCGAGUGAAGCGGGAAGAGCUCAAAUUUGAAAUCUUCAAGGGUUCUACCUUGACGAAUUGUAGUUUAAAGAAGUGUUUUCUGUUAGAGAGUUUGGUAAAAGUUCUUUGGAAUAGGACAUCAUAGAUGGGUGAGAAUCCCGUAUUUGAUCCACUUUCUUCCUAACUGUGUGAUACACUUUCAAAGAGUCGGAUUGUUUGGGAAUGCAGUCCAAAAUGGGUGGUAAAUUUCAUCUAAAGCUAAAUAUUGGCGAGAGACCGAUAGCGAACAAGUACCGUGAGGGAAAGAUGAAAAGAACUUUGAAAAGAGAGUUAAACAGUACGUGAAAUUGUCAAAAGGGAAGCGUUUGACACCAGUGUUGUUUUCUCGAAAAUCAAUUACGAAUGUUUUGUUUUUGAGGAGUUAUGACUUCAUCGGCUUGCUCCUUUCUUUACGAAACUUUCUUAAUGCACUUUUCGGUUAACAAGUCAACAUCAAUUUCUUUUGUUGUAAAAGGGUAUGAGGAAGGUGGCUUUCUUUUCGGAGAAAGUGUUUAUAGCCUUGUGCCUCUAGCAAUCGGAGAGAUUGAGGUCUGCAGCGUAGAUCCUUUCUGGAUUAGAUACAUUUGUGCUAAGUUAUAGCUUUUUCAUAGACAACAUUGUUGACUAUAUUUAGUCUUGUAGCUUACUCGCUGAUGCUAUUUUACCUACGCUUAGGAUGUUGAACUCUAUCACACACAG